AGUGGAUAUUUUAAUCUAUUAGCCUGAAAGUUGAGUGCUUUUCCCAAAAACUGUUAUUGGGAGUGGCUGUAACCUAGACACUACCUGUUUCUUGAUUGGACAGAGGUUGGUCUUUGGAGAGCACGGCGACUCAAGUGUGGCUAUGAGAUGCUUAAAAAGAAAGGAUAUACUUCUUGGGGUGUUGCCCUGUCGGUAGCUGAUAUAACGGAAAGUAUUUUGAAGAAUCUUAGGAGCGUGCAUCCAGUUUUCGCCAUAAGUAAGGGGCGAAGCACAGCUGAUCGUUCUGAAUAUCAAAACAUGAGGGCUGGCAGAGUGGCGUGUUGGUUAGCAGUUGGCUUGGGACGCCAGCUCUGAGCAGCAGAGCCCUGGUUC
Molecule: long non-coding RNA, 372 nt
Organism: Hipposideros armiger (great roundleaf bat)
Lineage: Eukaryota; Metazoa; Chordata; Mammalia; Chiroptera; Hipposideridae
Exons: 3
Source: RefSeq, a predicted model, not a curated record